This 1348-nucleotide long non-coding RNA is filed under the name Vulpes vulpes (red fox). RNAcentral's name for it is "lncRNA (ENSVVUG00000029351.1)". Lineage: Eukaryota; Metazoa; Chordata; Mammalia; Carnivora; Canidae. The record is from RNAcentral.
AGGGAAUAAAGGUACAAAUCUCUUGGCUCUAGAAUGAUCUUGGAUAUUGGCAAUCAAGGCUGAGUAUUUAGAACUCUGAAUGGAAACAGAAGGAGAGACUAUUGAGAAAGAAACCAGGAUUUAAGAGAGAACCACCUCUUUCUUGGGAGUAUGAGAAAGCACUGGAGCGCCUGGAAGACCAGAGAAAAGGACUUUCAGACCCAAGCAACGGCUAAGGAGCAGGGGAAAGGAAGCAGCAGCGUCUCCUUGCAGAACGACAACCCUGAGGAUACAGCAGUUGUCUUCAAAUCUGUGACCAUAAAAAAUCAUUAUCUCUGUGAAAUACAGCAAUUUGGGAGAUAAUCAAACGGUGACCAGGGGGCAGAGCUGCCAAUCUGAAGGAUUAUGCUCCCGCGCGCCCGCCUGCGCCUGACCUUCCUGGGAGCCAGCUGUCGGCGCGGCGAAGACGCCCCAUCCACUCCGGGCACAUUCAUUAGGCUGCCUUCGGUGCAUGAGCCAUUUGCAUAACACCCCAGCUUUCUUAAUUAGUACUUCAUUUCUCCCUUGACUUAUUUUGUGGCUAAGUUCACUGUCCCCCCUCCUCGAUCCUCUCUCUUCCCUUGCUGAAAUAGAUGGAGGAGGAGAGGAGGUGGGCCGGGAGGGUGAGAAGGAGAAACGAAUCGGACUUGCAAAUUAAGGCACUGGUAAUUAGUCUAUUAAUAUUUUCAGAUUUGAGCGAGGUUUCUUCGUGGAGAAACUAGAAAGAGAGACUGCUGGGGGAGAAAUUUAGCGUCGAAACUUCUAAUUCCACUACCCGCCAAUGGGCUGCGGGAGGGAUAGGCGGUGCAAGCACAUUUGCCUCCUUCUUACUUAGGAUACACCCUAUCAGGGGGGUGCUGAGUGCCUGGUGUUGGGCUUUCAGAAUUAAUAUUAAUUCCAUCAGAGGGAGGGAUCAUGUCUAUCCACUCAUCAUUGAGCUGGUCUCGAAUUCUAAUGGGGAUUUGGGCGAAUGUUGUCUCAGCAGUUCCAUGCAUUUCCAAGUUCUCACUCUGAACUCUCUUGCUGGAUUAUUGUAAUGUGAGUGAAAUGAAAAGAAGGGCAAAAGUAUUCAGUAUGUGAUUAUUAUAUUUCUUCGGGAGGGAUAAUUCAGAUCCAAACAAAAUCAAACUACUCUUUCCUAAAGUUAUGGUUUGUUUUACCUGAUCUGAGGAGUAGAAAUGCCUUACCUUCCCCAGGUGAUAGCUACAGCCUGCGAGAUUAGGAAAUCUCCAAUUCUGCUCAUGAAGAGAGGCAGAUUCCACUGUGUGGGCACCGGGAAUAUCUCACGGCUUCCUAGAAUAAAACAGAAAAUGAUCUUUAUUAAAAGACA